This is a non-coding RNA of Microcebus murinus (gray mouse lemur), 215 nucleotides long. The record is from RefSeq and is a predicted model, not a curated record. Lineage: Eukaryota; Metazoa; Chordata; Mammalia; Primates; Cheirogaleidae.
ACGGAGUAUAUAAGGACGUCAUAUCCGGCCGACGGGCCUUUCCACGCUACCCGCGGAAGGGGCCCAUACGGCGUUGUUCUGGAUUCCCGUCGUAACUUAAAGGGAAACUUUCACGAUGUCCGGAGCCCUUGAUGUCCUGCAAAUGAAGGAGGAGGAUGUCCUCAAAUUCCUUGCAGCAGGAACCCACUUAGGUGGCACCAACCUUGAUUUCCAAA